This is a non-coding RNA of Heterocephalus glaber (naked mole-rat), 4379 nucleotides long. The record is from RefSeq and is a predicted model, not a curated record. Lineage: Eukaryota; Metazoa; Chordata; Mammalia; Rodentia; Bathyergidae.
AAUUCCAGGACUUGUCUCAGAUUGACUGCAUCAGAGCAGGGCUCUGGGAACUGGUAUUUUUCAAAUUUCCCCAAGUGAUUAUAAUGAGCAGUCUGGAUUGAGAACUAUUAGACUAACGACUUUUAACGAUUCUAUCAUCCAAGGCCUCUGAUUUCUAUAGACAGUUCAAUUUGGGUUAUUAAGAAGCACAAGGUGUAUCUUGAUUCCCUGCAGAGCAACUUUGUCAACAUAUGCAACAGUUAAAGUGAUGUGGGACAAAAUGAUACAACAUGCCAACAGAUUAAGGCAUCAGGUUGGUGAAGGAGAUGCAUGUUCAUCUAGCAUCCUGCAUCACUGAGGAACUCUUACUGCAAGUAAUUCUAUGUGGAGGAGACUGAACCCACUUUCUGUUGGUAGUUGCCCAAGAAGGAUUCUUUACUGAAGUCAGAGACAGCAUAGGAAAUGGAAGAAGCAGCAUGAAGAAGAAAGCAUAAGAACAGGGUGUUUCUUCAAUUGCCCCUUAUUAUCGUGAGUCAUGUUUGACAAAUAGCCACUCCAGAGUUGGGGCCCUGCUGCUGCUGCUGCUGUCGCAAUUAGACCACAUGCCUCAGCUGCUGGUGCAUCAAUAAAUAUUUGCUGAAUGAAUGAACAAGAAGUGCUAUCACCAAUGUGUGUGAACACUGGAGAUGUGCAAGGUUGACUGCAGAGUGACAUGGUGGUGCCCUGAGGUGGUGGGAUCUUGCUCACCCCCUUGGUGUGGCAAACAGGAGCACUGGAAAAGAAGAAAGGAAAUGAUAAAGACACUUGAUUUUAUGCCACUUGGAAUAAUGGGCUUCUUUCCUCAAGAAAGUAUUUAGGAAGUAGAAAGAUAGGUUAGUAGGAAUGCAAGGGGAAAAAUGUGCUUUAGAGCCAAAUGUACUCCCCUGGCUUAGAAUGGAGAUAAAUAAAGGAGUGAUGUAGAUGGAUGAGCCACAGGGAAGCACUAGAUGAUUCAGAGUUGGGAGCCAGCCACCUGAAAUCCUGGGGGGUUCUCGAGGUAGCUUGCUGUUCUGGAGACUUAAUUACCACUGUAACUCAUGACACAUAAUUGCAUGUCAGAUAGGCUAGUUUUCAUGCUGAACUGCAGCCUUUUGGAAAUAAAUGAUGCUUAUUUCUCCUUCCCCUGCAAACUGACCCACCAGAUUUCUGAUAUAUAUCUGGUUCUUUUUUAUCUGAGUUCUUCAACAGACAUAGCAACUGUGAUGUGACUUCACCUAGAACUCACAUAAAACUUAUAGAGCCAUAGUCUUAAAAUUUUAGAGGAGAUUUGAGGUCUAAUCUCAAUUGAAAAAGUCUCCUGAUGUUGAUUAAAAUAGAAACAAGUCAAACUUAAGGGAAUAUCAGUUUUAAAAUAUAUUUAAUAUAAUUUUAAUUUAGGAAAUUUGUAAUAUCUUUUUUUCUAUAAAAAUUUUCCAUCUCCUUUCCUGUUUCACCAUGUUAGAUCCACACUCCACUAUAGUGUGAGGAAUUGUGAAGAGUUUCUUUUGAAAUAGAAAGUUGAAAAUGGAACCUCAAAACAUGUAAAAAACCAGGAAGAAUGUUAUUGCCUAAUUAUGUCAUUGUUUUACUGAACAGAGCAUGAGUAGUCCUAAAUUUUUUACAUCUAUUUUUCCAAUGAGUCAGCCUUCAUUACCCUGUAGUUAUUAAUUUAAAUUUAAAACCAGAAAAGGCUUAUGAUUAUCAAACUCCUGAAUAAGAGAUGUUUUGAAAAAUCAUUUCUAAUGUAGAAAUUUCUCACCUUUUCUUAAAGAUAUAUCUCUUUUGGUCUCCCAUUAACUUAAGAGCAUCUAAGAGGACCUAAGCAAAAGAGAAGUCUGUUGUUGAAGAUUUAUAUUUAUAGUCCUUGAUGAACUGAAUACAUUUACAAGCUGCAUUUUGAAAUCAUAAUAAUCUCAUGUGAAGCAAUCAAAAUUCCAAAAUCAUCUAAUCAAGAAUGACAUCAGAGGCAAACAAUCUCUAGAUGGAGUAGGUAUAAUUCCCUCUGUAAAUCUUCCAUUUAGAGCAGAUGUUCUAAUUCUGUGGAUUAAGUCAAGAAGUGUUGAGAUGAGUUACCCAGCAGACAGUUACUCAGUAAAGGUGAAUUGGUAUAAACUUGAGUUUCCUAAAUAGAAAAGAAGGGGUCAUUCAUGACCCAAGUCUCCAUCCAACAACUCCUACCCAAUCUCUCUGAGUCAGGGGAGGAGAAUUGGGCUGCCAAACAGAACAGAAAGGUCAUUGCCAGAGGGAAAGGAAUUCAUUCAAAGGACAGGCUUCGGGUGAUUAUUUUCUCUUCUCUGAAGGACUCUCCCUAUUCUUCACCUCUCAGCUCUCCCUUUCCUAUGGGAUUGAGAAUAAAAAGAGCAGCAGCAAGUCCUUGCAGCAUUUUCAGUUCCAAAGAUAGAUAUUUUGGUUCAUUGAUCAAGCAAGACAUAUGGGUUUAGAAAUACUGGAGCUGUAUGUUUCGCUUCUGCCUCACAUCAUAUCAUUUUGGUGUUGUGAUUCAAGUGACCUUCUGUGGCGGAAGGUGCUUGUGGAAUGCAUCGACACGGCCCCAGCUACUGCAACAUUUGGGCCCUGGCCCUUGAUCUAGAAACAGAACUCCAAACAGAGCUCCAAAGCUCUGUUGUUAACAGUUUAUGCAGUGUUGUCAGAAGCUGCGUUCAUUCUUUACUGUUUUCUUAUUGCUUUUAUAAUAAAUAUUUACAGAUUUAUUGCAUACUUAUUUUCCAAAUGGAUAGACAUUUUUAGAAGUGACAUUUCUGAAAGUGCAGAAGCUAUCUGGCACAUAUACAGUGUAUCGUACCAUGUGUUUUCUGACAAGAGCAUCAUCGAAACUGUCUUCGUAGUUUAUCUGAUGAAGCUCUAUUGCGAUCCGUUGUAUCAAGUUUAUGGCCCUAUUCUUUUCUUCCUUGCUUUUUACUUUUACAUCUGACAUAGGGAAAAUGAUAAGAUUUUCUUUAUUUCUUAGCAAACUAAUUUGUAAAAGCCAUAAGAACUUCUCUCUCCUUCACAAACACAGGAGAUCCUGCAUUAAACAGCUCGUCUUCUCUGCUAGAGAAUUUAUUUCUAGUCACAUGGUCAAUAUAUUGAAUCUUUUUUCUUAAGGAAAGAGAUAGACAAAAGGAGCAAGACAUGUAGGAAACUGCAAGAUAUCUUAAUGUUUAAACUAUGAAUUAUUUUUUAAAUGCCUUGAUAUUAGAUGCAGGAUGCCACAACAAAAGAAAUCCCUGAAUCAUUUGGGUAUCUAUAGCAUAACAUGAAGAAGCAAGUGGACAUUUUCUCUGACAAACUGUGGAAUAGUUUCAAUAUCGGCAGCAAAUGUGCUUCUGUAUCAUUCUUGGUAUUAUGAGACAGUACAGCAGAGUAGAGCAACACCUUAUUUUUAUGUUAUUGUCAUUUUGAAAAAGUCAAGUAUUUUGCUAUGGAGUAUUCUUUUACUUCCAAAACGUUCAGGAUUUAAAGGAAUAUCUAUAAAAAUAUUCUCAAAAUCUACGAAUAACAUUGUAGCUUCUAUGUGACUUAGCUUCUGUUUGUGAGAAGUUUUUUAGGUAUUUACGGUAACAAUCAAGGUGCCUGUUUACAAUUGUUAACUCUUGAAUUUUUGAAGUUCUAUAGGAAAACUACUUCAUGAUAAUUCUUUUUGACCUAUUCUUCUCCCCAAAAAACCCCAAUGGCAAAGUAAAGUGUGCCACUAGAAGAGAAAGAAGAUUAAAAACAGACCUUAAGGGCCAAGGAUUUAGCUCAGCGGUUCUGCAACCUGCCUCACCUGCCUGGCAAGCGCAAGGACCCGAGUUUGAUCCCCAGUACCAAAACAAACAAACCAAACCAAGCAAAAAAACCCAAAACAGACCUUAAGUGUCUAUUUACAUUAAAAUUGCAAUUAGGAUCAAUGGGGUAGGUUAUUUUAAGGGAGGAGGCUUUGAUUAAGUAUAAGGAAAACUUUCAAACUAUAGCAGCUUUUAACAAUGAAAUAGCCUUUGAAGACAGUGAGACCCCUAUUAAUAAAUGUGUUCACACAGCCUGGUUGAUUACCCAAGGUUAAUUUAGAAGGAUUCCUCCAUCCUAGUCAUUGAUGUCUUAGGUCUCAGUCUCAUCAACUGCGUUUUAAAAGUCAGUGUUCUGUCACCUCACGUGUAUAAUGUUUCAUUAAAGCAGGGUUUCACUGAUUUGGAAUUUGGAAAGUUGGGCUAAAGGUUUUUUUAUAACACUCUUUUUCUUCUUAAGGGGAAUAUAAAUAGAUUAGAGGAAGAUCCUUAAAACUGUUAAAAUGUGCUGCUGUGGUUAGAUGCAUUGAUUUAAGAAAAAUGAUGUGCUACUUGUAAGUCAUCCAUUAAAGUAUUGAUCUGUAUUGUAUAACAUCUCAUUAUAAAGUUGAAACUAAU